RNAcentral lists this unclassified non-coding RNA (218 nucleotides) under uncultured Taphrina. RNAcentral's name for it is "sequence contains ITS2". Lineage: Eukaryota; Fungi; Ascomycota; Taphrinomycetes; Taphrinales. The record is from RNAcentral.
AUCUCUCACAGGACCACUUGAUUGAAAGUCGAGUGGUCACUGUCGGUGUUGGAGUUUGCGGAGCGUUUGACGCCCGCUUCUCUCAAAUGAAUCGGUGCGGCCCGCUGCACAGUCUACAACGUUCUAGGUUCAUUCCAACUCGUUGCUCGACUGUCGCUACUACUGGUUGCUGCACCUAAAGCCCGCCUCGUGCCUCGCGCUCUUGGUAUAACUUCAUU